CGGCAACAGCUCAAAUUUGAAAUCUGGCCCUCUCAGGGUCCGAGUUGUAAUUUGCAGAGGAUGCUUCGGGAGUGGCCCCCAUCUAAGUGCCCUGGAACGGGCCGUCAUAGAGGGUGAGAAUCCCGUCUGGGAUGGGGUGUCCACGCCCGUGUGAAGCUCCUUCGAC
This 166-nucleotide ribosomal RNA is filed under the name Penicillium sp. RNAcentral's name for it is "partial large subunit ribosomal RNA". It matches the Rfam family "Eukaryotic large subunit ribosomal RNA", at positions 99 to 261 of the family's 3401-position model. Lineage: Eukaryota; Fungi; Ascomycota; Eurotiomycetes; Eurotiales; Aspergillaceae. The record is from RNAcentral.